RNAcentral lists this ribosomal RNA (253 nucleotides) under uncultured bacterium. Its description in RNAcentral is "partial 16S ribosomal RNA". It matches the Rfam family "Bacterial small subunit ribosomal RNA", at positions 524 to 776 of the family's 1533-position model. The record is from RNAcentral.
UACGUAGGGUGCGAGCGUUAAUCGGAAUUACUGGGCGUAAAGCGUGCGCAGGCGGUUUUGUAAGACAGAGGUGAAAUCCCCGGGCUCAACCUGGGAACUGCCUUUGUGACUGCAAGGCUGGAGUACGGCAGAGGGGGAUGGAAUUCCGCGUGUAGCAGUGAAAUGCGUAGAUAUGCGGAGGAACACCGAUGGCGAAGGCAAUCCCCUGGGCCUGUACUGACGCUCAUGCACGAAAGCGUGGGGAACAAACAGG